This 276-nucleotide ribosomal RNA is filed under the name Megasphaera elsdenii DSM 20460. RNAcentral describes it as "partial 16S ribosomal RNA". It matches the Rfam family "Bacterial small subunit ribosomal RNA", at positions 524 to 801 of the family's 1533-position model. Lineage: Bacteria; Bacillati; Bacillota; Negativicutes; Veillonellales; Veillonellaceae. The record is from RNAcentral.
UACGUAGGUGGCAAGCGUUGUCCGGAAUUAUUGGGCGUAAAGGGCGCGCAGGCGGCGUCGUAAGUCGGUCUUAAAAGUGCGGGGCUUAACCCCGUGAGGGGACCGAAACUGCGAUGCUAGAGUAUCGGAGAGGAAAGCGGAAUUCCUAGUGUAGCGGUGAAAUGCGUAGAUAUUAGGAGGAACACCAGUGGCGAAAGCGGCUUUCUGGACGACAACUGACGCUGAGGCGCGAAAGCCAGGGGAGCAAACGGGAUUAGAUACCCCGGUAGACUGACU